GAUGAACGCUGGCGGCGUGCCUAACACAUGCAAGUCGAGCGGCAGCGAGGGGUGCUUGCACCCUGUCGGCGAGCGGCGGACGGCUGAGUAGCGCGUGGGAACGUGCCCCAAAGUGAGGAAUAACUGCCCGAAAGGGUAGCUAAUACCGCAUAUUAUCUUCGGAUCAAAGGAUUAUUCGCUUUGGGAGCGGCUCGCGUCGGAGUAGGGAGGUGGUGAGGUAAUGGGUCACCAAGCCGACGAUCCGUAGCUGGUCUGAGAGGAUGACCAGCCAGACUGGAACUGAGACACGGUCCAGACUCCUACGGGAGGCAGCAGUGAGGAAUCUUCCACAAUGGGCGAAAGCCUGAUGGAGCAACGCCGCGUGCAGGACGAAGGCCUUCGGGUUGUAAACUGCUUUUAUAAGUGAGGAAUAUGACGGUAACUUAUGAAUAAGGAUCGGCUAACUACGUG
Molecule: ribosomal RNA, 450 nt
Filed under: uncultured bacterium
Lineage: Bacteria
Description: partial 16S ribosomal RNA
Rfam family: Bacterial small subunit ribosomal RNA
Source: RNAcentral